This 509-nucleotide ribosomal RNA is filed under the name uncultured bacterium. RNAcentral's name for it is "bacterial SSU rRNA". It matches the Rfam family "Bacterial small subunit ribosomal RNA", at positions 8 to 526 of the family's 1533-position model. The record is from RNAcentral.
AGGGUUUGAUUCUGGCUCAGGACGAACGCUGGCGGUGCGCCUUAUGCAUGCAAGUCGAGCGAAGCUUUUCAGUAGUUUACUACAGAAAAUGACUGAGCGGCGAACGGGUGAGUAACGCGUGAGCAAUCUACCUUAGUUACAGGGAUAGCCCGAGGAAACUCGGAUUAAUACCUGAUAUUCUUUAUUUCUCGCAUGAGAAUAAAAGGAAAGGUCAGCCGAACUAAGAUGAGCUCGCGUUCUAUCAGCUAGUUGGUGAGGUAAAAGCUUACCAAGGCUACGACGGAUAGCUGGUCUGAGAGGACGAUCAGCCACACUGGGACUGAGACACGGCCCAGACUCCUACGGGAGGCUGCAGCAGGGAAUAUUGUGCAAUGAACGAAAGUUUGACACAGCGACACCGCGUGUGGGAUGACGGAUCUAGGUUUGUAAACCACUUUCAGGAGGGAAGAAAAUGACGGUACCUCCACAAGAAGCCCCGGCCAACUACGUGCCAGCCGCCGCGGUAAUUC